CUCUGACGUUAGCGGCGGACGGGUGAGUAACACGUGGAUAACCUACCUAUAAGACUGGGAUAACUUCGGAAAACCGGAGCUAAUACCGGAUAAUAUAUUGAACCGCAUGGUUCAAUAGUGAAAGACGGUUCUGCUGCCACUUAUAGAUGGAUCCGCGCCGCAUUAGCUAGUUGGUAAGGUAACGGCUUACCAAGGCAACGAUGCGUAGCCGACCUGAGAGGGUGAUCGGCCACACUGGAACUGAGACACGGUCCAGACUCCUACGGGAGGCAGCAGUAGGGAAUCUUCCGCAAUGGGCGAAAGCCUGACGGAGCAACGCCGCGUGAGUGAUGAAGGUCUUCGGAUCGUAAAACUCUGUUAUUAGGGAAGAACAAAUGUGUAAGUAACUAUGCACGUCUUGACGGUACCUAAUCAGAAAGCCACGGCUAACUACGUGCCAGCAGCCGCGGUAAUACGUAGGUGGCAAGCGUUAUCCGGAAUUAUUGGGCGUAAAGCGCGCGUAGGCGGUUUUUUAAGUCUGAUGUGAAAGCCCACGGCUCAACCGUGGAGGGUCAUUGGAAACUGGUAAACUUGAGUGCAGAAGAGGAAAGUGGAAUUCCAUGUGUAGCGGUGAAAUGCGCAGAGAUAUGGAGGAACACCAGUGGCG
This 646-nucleotide ribosomal RNA is filed under the name uncultured Staphylococcus sp. RNAcentral describes it as "bacterial SSU rRNA". It matches the Rfam family "Bacterial small subunit ribosomal RNA", at positions 84 to 717 of the family's 1533-position model. The record is from RNAcentral. Lineage: Bacteria; Bacillati; Bacillota; Bacilli; Caryophanales; Staphylococcaceae.